GUGGGGAAUAUUGGGCAAUGGGCGAAAGCCUGACCCAGCCACGCCGCGUGAGUGAUGAAGGCCUUCGGGUUGUAAAGCUCUGUGGGGAGGGAAGAAAAAGCGCAGGAGUAACUGCCUGUGUGUUGACGGUACCUCCUUAGCAAGCACCGGCUAACUCUGUGCCAGCAGCCGCGGUAAUACAGAGGGUGCAAACGUUGCUCGGAAUUACUGGGCGUAAAGCGCGUGUAGGCUGACAUGCAAGUCGGGUGUGAAAUCCCAGGGCUCAACCUUGGAACUGCACUCGAAACUGUACGUUUUGAGUACUGGAGAGGGAAGCGGAAUUCCGGGUGUAGAGGUGAAAUUCGUAGAUAUCCGGAGGAACACCAGUGGCGAAGGCGGCUUCCUGGACAGUAAAUGACGCUGAGACGCGAAAGCGUGGGGAGCAAACAGGAUUAGAUACCCCAGUAGUCC
Molecule: ribosomal RNA, 450 nt
Filed under: uncultured bacterium
Lineage: Bacteria
Description: partial 16S ribosomal RNA
Rfam family: Bacterial small subunit ribosomal RNA
Source: RNAcentral